GCAGAGAAGCUGAGGCUUACUGCAGACAAGCAACUUGCCCAGAGUCAGAGGAAAAGGAAGUGGGCACCUGAGUGAGACUCUGCCAGGCUCUGCUGGGAGCCCUUCAUGUGUACAGGCUGAUCCCAGGCUCACAGCAAGCCCGUGAGGUCCAGGCGGUCGCCAUUCUCCUCAUGCUUACAGAUGGGGAAACCGAGGCACAGCUCAUCUCCGAGGUCCCCGUGUUAGGAAACGUCAGAGCCAGGAUUUGAACUCAGGCAACUUCUCGCCGGAGUCUGUGCUCUGGACCCCACGGGGAGGGGUGAGAUGGAAGCCAGGCAUUUACAGAAGCCAAGACCAGGGAAGAGCAUGGACCUUAGACCACAGCACCCCUGAACCAUCGAGCCCCUGCCACACUUCCUGGAAUGCUCUUUGUGGAGCAUUGAAUAGUGUUCACCCAAAAGUCAUGCCCUCCUCCGAAUGUAACCUCAUCUGGAAAUGGGGACACUGCAGAUGUCAUGAAGGUAAGGACGGAAAAGAGCGCGCACUGGAGUAGGCUGGGCAUGAAAUCCAGGGAGAGAGUCCUUCUGGGAAGGAGGAGAGCAGACACAGAGACACACAGGAGGGCGACACGGAGGCACAGGCGGAGACUGCAGUGGAAUCAUGCUUCCACAAGCCGAGGAACACCGACGGCUGCCGGCACACCACAGCUAGGAGCGCCAAGGGCUGCCGGUACACCACACACCACAGCUGCACAGAGGCCUGGGACAGAUGCUCCCAUGGAGCCUGCACAAGAAGCCUCUCUGCCCACACCUUGACUUUGGACUUGAAGCCUUCAGAGCGGUGAGAGGAGAGGCUCCUGUUGCGUGAGGCCGGCAGCCCCAGGACACACACUCUUCCCGUGGGGCCAGCUCCUCCCUCCCCAGCACCACGAGGCGCCCCGGAGAAUUGGGCUCUUGACCCGGGCCAGGCAGGAAAUGCAGGCUUGCUCUUUAAAACACAUUAAAAGGGAUCCUGCAAAGGUUAAAAAAAAUAAGCAGAUGAACAAGAUAAGCGUUCCCCUGGGACCUGAAAGACGCAGAAGAACAAGUAGGAGGAACAUUCGGAGGAGAAGACCUAGCUGCAGCUGGGUCCUGGCAAAGUUAUCGGGUUCUGCUCCCUCUGCCUGGGUGAGGUACUGGCAAAGUUCUCCGGUUCUGCGCCCUCUGCCCAGUUUGACCAAGGAGCUUAUGUUUUUAAGUCAUGGAAUAAAACAUGGAUUACUAUUGUGGGUUGAACUGCAUCCCCCAAAAAGAUCAGUGGAGGUCCUAGAAACACAGGACUUCAGAAUGUGACUGUGUCUGAAGACAAGGUCAUUGCAGAUGUAAUUGUUAAGAUGAAAUCAUACUGGAGCAGGCUGGGCCCACUCCAGUACGACCGAUGUCAUCAUAAGAGAAGAGACACAGAGACUCCACGUGGAGACAGAGGCGGAGAUGGGAGCAAUGUGGCCACAAACCCAGGGUUGCCACAACCAGCAGAAACUAGGAGGAGGCGAGGCAGGAGCCUCCCCUGCGCCUCCAGAGAGAGCCUGGCCCUGCCAAUACCGUGAUUUCGGACUUCUUUUAACCUCCAGAAUUGUGCAAGAAUAAAUGUUGCUUGUUUUGAGCCACCCAGCUUGUGGUCCUCAGUUACAACAGUCCCAGGAAACUAAUACAUCUAGUAAAUAAAAUGAGAGCGGUUUCUCUGCAUGAACUGAAAUGAUGGCGGGCUCUGCAGGGACAGUUCGCAGACAUCUGCAAACAAAUACUGUCCAAACCGUGGUAAACAGCCGUCUUUUAUUUCGGCGAAAGCCUUUGGGCCAGUUUUCGUAUGUUGUUGGAAGCACUAAAUCUCUCGCUGGCAGAGAUCUGCAAGCAGCUACAAGCCAGCGGCUCACCUGCAGCAAAACGCCUGGAGGCAGGUCCAUGCAAUGCCCACGUCUUGCAUGUCAUUGUGCAGUUAAACAGCUCCUGAACCAGAGAGCAGCUGCGCCCAGACAGCUUCCCGGGUGGUAAGAACUGUAUUUGACCUCCUGGCAGCACAAACGACUGAAUAACAAUUAAACAAAACAGGACAGUCUCCGUGUUUCAAAAUGCGCAUUUAAACCUAAAAGAAACACGGUGUGUUUACUUUCUGAGCCUGGCCUUCCCUGGGUGCACAGUGAGCCACUUCUGAAAGCGUAUGGGCACACCCGCUACAGAAACCAGCUUACACUGGCUCGGUUGCCAGUCCUGGGGCAUUUCAGAAGAAUUGAGUCAGAAAGGUGUUUUCUGUGGGUGAUUCAAAGGCUCCAGGUCUCCAGAAAUUUGUUGCAUGAAAUGGAGAAUAAGUAGGCUCGGGCUCGGACUUGGCCGCGUGCAGCUUCAGGGGUGAAGCUGCUUGGAGGCCAGGGGCCAGCCCCAGUGCUUGGAUGCUGGGGUGCAGAUCCGGGAAUGGGAUGAUAGCCAGGUGGAAAGGGGGAGGUGGCUCCUGGGUCUUGGAGAAGAGGGUGAGAAUAUAACCAAAGAUUUGUCUGAAAGCCAGACAGUGGAGAGUCAGCUUGGCUGUGAAUCAUACCUAGUUUGAGCAUAAAGAUGAGAAGUGAAAACAGAGAUGGGGAGGUAAAAAAGGAGGGGGAGGUGAACAGAGAGGCUUAGGUCCCCAUCGAUAACAGUAGCUAAUGACACGUGAACACGGGAUCUCUUUGCUUGCUUUUCUUUUUUUUUUUUUUUUUAAGACAGGGUCUUGCUCUGUCACCAAAGCUGGAGUGCAGUGGCACAAUCAUGGCUCACUGCAGCCUCAACCUCCCGGGUUCCAGUGAUCCACCCAUCUCAGCCUCCAGAGUAGCUGGGACUACAGGGGUGCACCACCAUACCUGGCUAUUUUUAGUAUUUUUUGUAGAGACGGGUUUUUUUGCCAUGUUGCCCAGGCUGGUCUCGAACUCCUGGGUUUAAGUGAUCUGCCUGCCUCAGCCUCCCAAAGUGCUGGGGGAUUACAGGUGUGAGCCACUGCAUCUGGCCAAGGGAUAUCUUUUGAGAUCUUCUUGCCCCAGAGCUUAAUUUCAGAAUCCAGCGUGAUUGUUAAAGAAGAAAAUAAACGGGCUUUUUCUAUUUUACCUGGAGCAUGUCACCAGGACAAUUUUCAUCCAAAGACCUAGUUCAAUGGGGCUCCUUCCCCAAGCUCCCCACACACGCUCCGGGAAUCGAUUUUUUUUACAGUUGUCUGAAGUGCAAGUCAAGCUUUUGCACACACACUCUCUCUCUUUCUCUUUUUCUCUGUCUUAAAUUGCCAGAAAUGUACAAUUUUCCUAAUGGAGAGUUUAUUUCAGGCUCAUCAAGAUAAAAUAAAUUCCGCUGGUGUGCAGCCGGCCAGGCGCAGGGCAGAGCGGCGGCAAGCGGCCCGCGGGCAGAGGGGGCAGCGAGGGUCCAUGCUCAGCGUCUGAACGUUACAUUGGCAUCUGGGGAGGGGGGGGGCUCCAUGUGUGGUCACGUGAACUCCGAGAACGAACCUGGCUGAGCACAGUCGACCUUGUCACUGUCAUGACCCAAGGUGUCCUCUGUGACUGGACAUGGGGCGGGGUGCGUUACGUAGAUGACUCGUUAAGCUCUAGUGGCUAACUCAGUGCGUCCAUGAAGGCUGUGCGGAGAUGCGGCCGGCAGAAGGCAAACAUAGAUGACGCUGGGGAUAUCGGUGUAAAUACGGGUAUGGCCAGUUGGUCGAUACAGAAGGGUUUGUUUGAAGGCCUUCGCUCACACGAUUGUGGCUGCUGGCAAAUCCAAAAUCUAUAAGGCAGGCUGGCGGCUGGAGCCUCAGGCAGGAUUUCUACGAGGCAGAAUUUCUCCUCCUUCGGGAAACCUGCUUCCCCUCGGAAGGCCUUCUGUGGGCUGCGUGAUGUGCUCCCACAUGCUCAGGGGCAAGCUCCUUUAUUGGCUGUAGGCAUCGGCCACAUCCCCAAAACACCUGCCCAGCAACCCUGAGAUGACUGCUUGGGUUCGUCUCCAGGUACGCUAAGCCUGCCCACAUAAAACUGACUGCCACACACUGACGUUCUCCGGUGAGAGAUGGGAGACUCAGAGAGGCCACUUCCUUUGCCAGGGUUGUAGAGCAAUGGAAGGGCUUGAGUGGUCAGGUCUUUGGGUCUCAUUGCCUGUGGUUCUAAACUAGCAGAGUGUGGAAUGCCUCGGCUUCCACUGACCCUGUGGCCCCGGCAGGGCCUCCACCAUCAGGACCGCCGAGCACGCCCUCCUGCCAGGAGCGACGUCCUCCUUCCUGAGAAGUUUCUCGUGGGUGGGAGGGAUGGGAACCGGACUCUUGACACCUCCCUGGUGCCCCAGCCCCACCCUCGCAAGGCGGACCACCCAGAAGGUUCUUCCGGCCCCUUUUCCAAAGCCCUCCUGCCUCACUUAACCCAGCCCAGGUUAACUGAUGACUGUGGGAAGAGAUGUUUCCAGCAGCACACUGUCUUGUAAUCCAAGGGGCCCUGGAAAAAGGGGUUUCGCAGCGGCACUGUGGUCUCAGAGUCCAUGCGAGAGGAAACACAUCUGUCCCUGUAUUUUCCGCAGACACCCCCCCUCGCCUCCCCCACGUCCCCACAGGCUGUCAUAUUGUUUCCAGUUGUGUUUAUGGUAAACUCAGGCCAUAACACGCCUCUGUCGUUGUAAAAGAUGGAAAGAGUCUUAGGAGAGAAAUUUUCAUCCCAGGCCUUUCAAGCGGCAUUUUCCCGGUGGUAGAGGUGAAUGGGAAACAUGAAGCAGCUGCCUGCAGGAACGUUUUUCCCUCUGUGGCAAGGAUAAACAGUGAAAGGCGUUUGCUGAAGAUGGAAAGAGACACUGUGCAAACCAAUAUGCACAGCUCCUGAGGCCUGUGCUGGGGGCCGUGGCUUGCUGACGUCUCUCCAAAUACGCAAGUCAGAGAAGGGCUGACUCACAGGUCAUGGAUUGCAAAAAAUAUGGCACAAGCCUGACUUCGAACUUUCAAAGGGACAAGGACGUGCACGCCACAGCCACAGCCCCAGACCAGGGUGUAGGCCGUGGGGCUCCAGCUCCCUUCUGGGCAUCACUGCUGUGUGUCCUUGGGAGAGUGUCUCCGCCUCUCUGGCACCUCCCUUCACUCUGGAAACCUGUCCAUCAGGCCAGGGGACUGGGGUGGCGUGCGGCCUACCUCCUCCCACCUUCCGAGCCCAACCCCAAAACUGGAUAAGCAGUCAGCUUGCACUCUGAACCCAGAACUGAAACGAGGAUUAAGCUUCGCUUUGUGCGUGCCACAAACCAGACACCACAUCCAACCUCCGGCUCUAGGGCCAGGAACUCCAAUCACCAAGCAUUUUUGGAAAACCAAAUCAAAGCUAGAUGGCUUUUCUAACAUGUUAUAUUGUAUUAAAGAUUGAAAAUGACAUUGAGAAGUAAAAAUAAAUUGGAAAUAACUGGAAAAAUCUAAAUGUCCAGUAACAUUGGGGGAUUCAUUAAAAAUUCUGACCCAAUGGAACGUCGACGAGCCACCACAAUGACCUUUUUAAAGAAUGUUCCCUGCUGGGCAAAGAUGCUCAUGAAAUCUUACUUGAAAAAUAAAGUAGGCCAUGGAAAGGUA
This is a long non-coding RNA of Homo sapiens (human), 5559 nucleotides long. RefSeq lists it as uncharacterized. NCBI's taxonomy places the organism in Eukaryota, Metazoa, Chordata, Mammalia, Primates, Hominidae. The transcript has 2 exons. The record is from RefSeq and is a predicted model, not a curated record.